RNAcentral lists this long non-coding RNA (376 nucleotides) under Gallus gallus (chicken). Its description in RNAcentral is "lncRNA (ENSGALG00010007107.1)". The record is from RNAcentral. Lineage: Eukaryota; Metazoa; Chordata; Aves; Galliformes; Phasianidae.
CACCAACUGAAAGAGAAUCUCAGAGAUGCUGGAAUGAAUUCAAAAGUCAGAGGAAACAUAGGAAACUACAGCUGGGAACCUGUUGAACAGCAAAUAAGAACAGCAGGAGAUGGAAAAUGUAUGAGGAGAAAAUUUUUUUUUUUAAGAAUUUCAGGAUUAAAAGACCUGGUAUCCUUUCUACCAUCAAGAAACAACAUGAUGUUUAGCACCAGACCAACAUACAGCUUCUCUACAGGAUUCAGAUUUCUUCACAAUAAGCAAUUCACAGGAAUAAAAAAUUCUCUGUAUAAAGAAUGAUACCACAGUUGGAAGACCUGAAACUUCCAUCAAAGAUAUGUCUUCAGAGUCCAACAUGUCUUCAGUGGGAAGGUUCAUG